This 305-nucleotide ribosomal RNA is filed under the name uncultured bacterium. Its description in RNAcentral is "bacterial SSU rRNA". It matches the Rfam family "Bacterial small subunit ribosomal RNA", at positions 338 to 657 of the family's 1533-position model. The record is from RNAcentral.
CCUACGGGGCGCAGCAGUCGGGAAUAUUGCGCAAUGGAGGAAACUCUGACGCAGUGACGCCGCGUGCAGGAAGAAGGUUUUCGGAUUGUAAACUGCUUUAGACAGGGAAGAAAGAAAUGACGGUACCUGUAGAAUAAGCUCCGGCUAACUACGUGCCAGCAGCCGCGGUAAUACGUAGGGAGCAAGCGUUAUCCGGAUUUAUUGGGUGUAAAGGGUGCGUAGACGGGAAUACAAGUUGGUUGUGAAAGCCCUCGGCUUAACUGAGGAACUGCAACCAAAACUAUAUUUCUUGAGUAUCGGAGAGG